This 1229-nucleotide ribosomal RNA is filed under the name uncultured Halomonas sp. Its description in RNAcentral is "bacterial SSU rRNA". It matches the Rfam family "Bacterial small subunit ribosomal RNA", at positions 158 to 1388 of the family's 1533-position model. The record is from RNAcentral. Lineage: Bacteria; Pseudomonadati; Pseudomonadota; Gammaproteobacteria; Oceanospirillales; Halomonadaceae.
CCAGGCUAAUACCGCAUACGUCCUACGGGAGAAAGGGGGCUUCGGCUCCCGCUAUUGGAUGAGCCUAUGUCGGAUUAGCUAGUUGGUGAGGUAGAGGCUCACCAAGGCAACGAUCCGUAGCUGGUCUGAGAGGAUGAUCAGCCACAUCGGGACUGAGACACGGCCCGAACUCCUACGGGAGGCAGCAGUGGGGAAUAUUGGACAAUGGGGGCAACCCUGAUCCAGCCAUGCCGCGUGUGUGAAGAAGGCCCUCGGGUUGUAAAGCACUUUCAGCGAGGAAGAACGCCUAGCGGUUAAUACCCGUUAGGAAAGACAUCACUCGCAGAAGAAGCACCGGCUAACUCCGUGCCAGCAGCCGCGGUAAUACGGAGGGUGCAAGCGUUAAUCGGAAUUACUGGGCGUAAAGCGCGCGUAGGUGGCUUGAUAAGCCGGUUGUGAAAGCCCCGGGCUCAACCUGGGAACGGCAUCCGGAACUGUCAGGCUAGAGUGCAGGAGAGGAAGGUAGAAUUCCCGGUGUAGCGGUGAAAUGCGUAGAGAUCGGGAGGAAUACCAGUGGCGAAGGCGGCCUCCUGGACUGACACUGACACUGAGGUGCGAAAGCGUGGGUAGCAAACAGGAUUAGAUACCCUGGUAGUCCACGCCGUAAACGAUGUCGACCAGCCGUUGGGUGCCUAGAGCACUUUGUGGCGAAGUUAACGCGAUAAGUCGACCGCCUGGGGAGUACGGCCGCAAGGUUWAAACUCAAAUGAAUUGACGGGGGCCCGCACAAGCGGUGGAGCAUGUGGUUUAAUUCGAUGCAACGCGAAGAACCUUACCUACCCUUGACAUCUACAGAAGCCGGAAGAGAUUCUGGUGUGCCUUCGGGAACUGUAAGACAGGUGCUGCAUGGCUGUCGUCAGCUCGUGUUGUGAAAUGUUGGGUUAAGUCCCGUAACGAGCGCAACCCUUGUCCUUAUUUGCCAGCACGUAAUGGUGGGAACUCUAAGGAGACUGCCGGUGACAAACCGGAGGAAGGUGGGGACGACGUCAAGUCAUCAUGGCCCUUACGGGUAGGGCUACACACGUGCUACAAUGGCCGGUACAAAGGGCUGCGAGCUCGCGAGAGUCAGCGAAUCCCUUAAAGCCGGUCUCAGUCCGGAUCGGAGUCUGCAACUCGACUCCGUGAAGUCGGAAUCGCUAGUAAUCGUGAAUCAGAAUGUCACGGUGAAUACGUUCCCGGGCCUUGUACAC